This 835-nucleotide long non-coding RNA is filed under the name Monodelphis domestica (gray short-tailed opossum). RNAcentral's name for it is "lncRNA (ENSMODG00000046327.1)". The record is from RNAcentral. Lineage: Eukaryota; Metazoa; Chordata; Mammalia; Didelphimorphia; Didelphidae.
GAAUAUCAUUUCUUCCUCUAAUCCACAUGGUUGCUGUGAGGACCAAAUGGGACAGUAUCUAUAAGUCAGUAUGAAUAUCUUUAGUCUUUCUAUUAACAUGAGCUUUAAUAUUUCCUAAUGUUCAUUGCUAUGGAUGCUGAAGACAUAUUUGAGUCCUGGUUUGUAUGUUUACUAGUAACUCCUUAGGUUAGGCAGCCAGUGAUAAUAGAGGACAGAGACUUAUUCCUGAAAUCAAUGAGAGACAGCUGGAUGGUUCAGUGGAUAGAGCACUGCGCUUGGAAGGAAGAUGACUAAAGCUCCAAUUUGCACUCAGAUGCAGGGUGAGCCUGGGCCAGUCACUUAACCCUAUUUACCUCACUCUCAUCCUCUGUAAAAUGAGUGGGAGGAGGAAAUAGCCAACUAUUGCAGUAUCUUUGCUAAGAAAACUCCGGAUGGGAUCAAGAAGACCUUGUUUUAAAUGCUUCCUCAGACACUGGCUGUAUGAUCCUGGGGUGAAGACCAGGAGGAAUGUUCCCCCAGGAUGCCCCUACACAUCCUCGACCAAACUAUAGGAAUGCAAAGGUCCAGGACAGUCCAGAGAAACUUCUGAGAAAGAACAUUGUCCACAUCCAGAGAAAGAACUGUGGGAACAGACAUGCAGAAGAAAAACAUGGUUUGAUAAUGAUAUGAUUAGGGUUUUGAUGUUAAAAGAUCACUCUAUUGCAAAUAUGAAUAACAUGGAAAUAUGUUUUGAAUAAUGAUACAUGUAAAACCCAGUGGAAUUGCUUGUCAUCUCCAGGAGUGGGGAGGGAUGAGGGGUAAUAAAAAUGAUGAAUCAUGUAACCUUGGAAAAAUA